This 253-nucleotide ribosomal RNA is filed under the name uncultured bacterium. Its description in RNAcentral is "partial 16S ribosomal RNA". It matches the Rfam family "Bacterial small subunit ribosomal RNA", at positions 524 to 776 of the family's 1533-position model. The record is from RNAcentral.
GACAGAGGGUGCAAACGUUGCUCGGAAUCACUGGGCGUAAAGGGCGUGUAGGCGGGCAGUAAAGUCAGAUGUGAAAUCCCUGGGCUCAACCCAGGAACUGCAUUUGAAACUCACUUUCUUGAGUACCGGAGAGGAAGGUGGAAUUCCUGGUGUAGAGGUGAAAUUCGUAGAUAUCAGGAGGAACACCAGUGGCGAAGGCGGCCUUCUGGACGGUAACUGACGCUGAGACGCGAAAGCGUGGGGAGCAAACAGG